AUGUGUCCAGAUGGGUCACCAGGUGUCUAGAUGAAUCCAGAUAGGUCACCAGGUGUCUAGAUUAAUCCAGAUGGGUCACCAGGUGUCUAGAUUAAUCCAGAUGAGUCACCAGGUGUCUAGAUGUGUCCACUCUCACCAGGUGUGUGUAAAGGUGUCCAGAAGUGUCCACUCUCACCAGCUGUGUGUAAAGGUGUCCUGUGUAUCCAGGUGUGCUGAGGUGUUGUGAUCAUAAAGGGAAUCCGUUAAACGGGACGUCUAGUGACGUUCAUCUUAUAGACUGAUCUCAGGCCUGUCCCAACUCAUUCAUCUCAUAGACUGAUCUCAGGCCUGUCCAACUCAUUCCCCUUAUAGACUGAUCUCAGGCCUGUCCAACUCAUUCCCCUUUUAGACUGAUCUCAGGCCUGUCCCAACUCAUUCACCUUAUAGACUGAUCUCAGGCCUGUCCAACUCAUUCAUCUCAUAGACUGAUCUCAGGCCUGUCCAACUCAUUCCCCUUAUAGACUGAUCUC
Molecule: long non-coding RNA, 509 nt
Organism: Oncorhynchus tshawytscha (Chinook salmon)
Lineage: Eukaryota; Metazoa; Chordata; Actinopteri; Salmoniformes; Salmonidae
Source: Ensembl